This 1467-nucleotide long non-coding RNA is filed under the name Nothobranchius furzeri (turquoise killifish). Its description in RNAcentral is "lncRNA (ENSNFUG00015017034.1)". The record is from RNAcentral. Lineage: Eukaryota; Metazoa; Chordata; Actinopteri; Cyprinodontiformes; Nothobranchiidae.
AUGGAGAGGAGGCAGGGACCAGUAGAGUCCGGGGGCCUGCGUCUGGGGCAGAGGAAGAGGCGACGACGGGCUCUUGGGGGCCUGCGUCUGGCAAGGGCAGGAACGGCGGAGACCGGAGGCAGAGACGCUGGAGGAGAUGUCCUUGAUUUUUGGGCUGGAGGCGGCGGCGUCGCCCACUGGGCUGGAGGCGAAGUCGUCGGCCACUGGGCUGGAGACGGCGUCGUCGACCACUGGGCUGGAGACGGCGUCGUCGACCACUGGGCUGCAGACGGCGUCAUCGACCACUGGGCUGGAGAUAGCGUUGACCACAGGACUGGAGACGAAGUCGACCACUGGACUGGAGACGCCGUCAACCACUGGACUGGAGACGGCGUCGGCCACUGGUCUGGAGGGGACGUCAGCCUCUGGACACGAAGGGGCGUCGACCUCUGGACACGAAGGGCAUUGACCUCUGGACACGAAGGAGCGUCGACCUCUGGACACGAAGGAGCGUCGACCUCUGGACACGAAGGAGCGUCGACCUCUGGACACGAAGGAGCGUCGACCUCUGGACACGAAGGAACGUCGACCUCUGGACACGAAGGAGCGUCGACCUCUGGACACGAAGGAGCGUCGACCUCUGGACUGGAAAGAGCGUCGACCUCAGUACUGGAAAGAGCGUCGACCUCAGGACUGGAAAGAGUGUCGACCUCAGGACUGGAAAGUGCUUCAACCUCAGGACUGGAAAGAGAGUCGACCUCUGUACUGGAAAGAGCGUCAAACUCAGGACUGGAAAGAGCAUCAACCUCAGGACUGGAAAGAGCGUCGACUUCAGGACUGGAAAGGGCGUCGACCUCUGGAUUGGAAAGGACGUCAACCUUUGUAGACUUCUGGUCCGGGGGCGUCGACUUCUGGUCCGGGGGCGUCGACUUCUGGUCCAGGGGCAUCGACUUCUGGACCGUCGACUUCUGGACCGUCAACUUCUGGACUGUCGACUUCUGGACCGUCGACUUCUGGACCGUCGACUUCUGGACCGUCGACCUCUGGACCGUCGACCUCUGGACCAUCGGCUUCUGGACCGUCCGCUUUUGGACCGGGACCGUAGACUUCUGGACCGGGACCGUAGACUUCUGGACUGAGACCAUUGACUUCUGGACCGGAACCAUCGACUUCUGGAGCAGAACCUUCAACUUCGGGAACGGAGGCGUCGACUUCUGGACCGGAGGCGUCGACUUCUGGAGUGGAGGCGGAGCCGCUGCAGGAGGGGCCGCUGACUUGGCUGGUACCGCCGGACUGGGUGCUGACCACUGGACAGGCUGGCCUGGAGGCGGAGCCUCUUGGACAGGCUGGCCUGGGGGCGGAGCGUCCUGGACCACCGCUGGAACUGGCGCUGACUGGACUGGUGGCGCGGGACCUGGUGGAGCCGGUAACUGGAAAAGCAGGGAGGAUAGAUUAUCCAGCUGGAUCUCCUGGAGGCUGAGGAUCUGA